This 292-nucleotide ribosomal RNA is filed under the name uncultured bacterium. RNAcentral describes it as "partial 16S ribosomal RNA". It matches the Rfam family "Bacterial small subunit ribosomal RNA", at positions 505 to 796 of the family's 1533-position model. The record is from RNAcentral.
GUGUCAGCAGCCGCGGUAAGACGAACCGUGCGAACGUUAUUCGGAAUCACUGGGCUUAAAGGGCGCGUAGGCGGGUCGGUAAGUCAGGGGUGAAAUCCCACGGCCCAACCGUGGAAGUGCCUCUGAUACUGCCGGCCUCGAGGGGGAUAGGGGCGUGCGGAACUCAGGGUGGAGCGGUGAAAUGCGUAGAUAUCCUGAGGAACACCGGUGGCGAAAGCGGCGCGCUGGAUCCCUUCUGACGCUGAGGCGCGAAAGCCAGGGGAGCAAACGGGAUUAGAUACCCCCGUAGUCC